This 1326-nucleotide long non-coding RNA is filed under the name Homo sapiens (human). Its description in RNAcentral is "HSALNT0263652". The record is from RNAcentral. Lineage: Eukaryota; Metazoa; Chordata; Mammalia; Primates; Hominidae.
CUGUCACCAGGCUGGAGUGCAGUGGUGCGAUCUCGGCUCACUGCAACCUCCACCUCCCGGGUUCAAGCGAUUCUCCUGCCUCAGCCUCCUGAGUAGCUGGGACUACAGUAUGUGCUACCUGUAAGUUUUUGUAUUUUUUGUAGAAAUGGGGUUUUGCCAUGUUGCCCAGGCUGGUCUCGAUCUUCUGGACUCCAGGCAGAUGCCUGCCUUUUGAGUUUUUAAAAACAUGUCUGAUGGGGAAAAGACAUAUAAUGAUGGGAUUUUUCAAUGUAUAUAGACGUAAUAUGAUAGAUAUUGCACAAAGAGGGGAAGGAAAAGGGAUCCAUAUUGUGGCAAGGUCUCUACAAUCCAACUAGAGUGUUAAAAAACUAAUUCUAAAUAUUUAUUUGGUAAUCCCUAGAGCAACCACUAAAAAACUAUACAAAGACAUAAAGUAAAAAUCACAACAGAUAAAUUAAAAUGAAGUACUAAAAAAUGUUCUAAUAACCCAAAAGAAGGCAAGAAAAGGAAAAUAGAGAAUGAAAAAGAGAGAGAAAAGCAGAAGACAAAAAAAAAUGGUAAACCUAAUUCUAAAUGUAUCAGCAAUUGCACUGAAUGUAAAUGAUCUAUACAUACCAAUUAAAAGACAUAUUGGCAGAGUGGAUAAAGAAACAUGACCCAACUAUGCUGUCUACAAGAAAACUCACUUCAAAUAUAAUUCAAUGGGUAGAUUGAAAAUAAAAAGAUGAAGCUGGGCAUGGUGGCUCACGCCUGUAAUCCCAGCACCUAAGAGGCCGAGGGGGGCAGAUCACCUGAGGUGAGGAGUUCAAGACCAGCCUGGCUAACAUGGUGAAACCCCAUCUCUACUAAAAAUACAAAAAUUAGCUGGGCGUGGUGGUGGACAUCUGUAAUCCCAGCUACUUGGGAGGCUGAGGCAGGAGAAUUGCUUGAACCCAGGAGGCGGAGGUUGCAGUGAGCCAAGAUUGUACCACUGCACUCCAGCCUGGGCAGUAGAGCUAGACUCUAUCUCAAAAAAGAAAAAAAAAAAAGAAAAGAAAAAGGUGGAAAUACACAUACCAUGCAAACAAUCAAAAGGAAGCUGGAAUGGCUAUAUUAAUAUCAGAAAAAUAUUUUUUUUUUUUUGAGGUAGGUUCUUGCCCUGUCACCCAGGCUGGAGUACAGUGGCACAACCUUGGCUCACUGCAGCCUAAACCUCCUGGGCUCAAGCAAUCCUCCCACCUCAGCCUCCUAAGUAGCUGGGACUAUACAUGUGUGCCACCAGGCCCAGUUAAUUUUUUUUUUUUUUGCAGAGAUGAGGUCUCACUAUGUUGCCCAGGCUGAUCUUGG